AGCCUUUAGCCAAACAAGUAUUAAAGGUCCCGCCUGCCCAGUGAAAUUUUUUAACGGCCGCGGUAUUCUAACCGUGCAAAGGUAGCGUAAUCACUUGUCUUCUAAAUAAAGACUAGUAUGAACGGCUAAAUGAGGACAACCCUGUCUCCUGCGGCCAAUCAGUGAAACUGAUCUUCCAGUACAAAAGCUGGAAUAAAAUCAUAAGACGAGAAGACCCUGUGGAGCUUCAAACCAAAUACUACUAUCAGCCUAGUAAGAGGUUUUAAGUUGGGGCGACUUCGGAACAAAACACAACUUCCAAGCACAGAGACAUAAAUCUCUCUUUCAGGCCAACAUGCCUAAAACAUAUAAACGACCCAGUCAUACUGACCAACGAACCAAGUUACCCCAGGGAUAACAGCGCCAUCUUCUUCAAGAGUCCAUAUCGACAAGAAGGUUUACGACCUCGAUGUUGGAUCAGGACACCCAAAUGGUGCAGCCGCUAUUAAGGGGGGCGGAAAAUACAAACGAUUAACAGUCCU
RNAcentral lists this ribosomal RNA (521 nucleotides) under Subdoluseps bowringii (Christmas Island grass-skink). RNAcentral describes it as "partial 16S ribosomal RNA". It matches the Rfam family "Bacterial large subunit ribosomal RNA", at positions 1817 to 2597 of the family's 2925-position model. Lineage: Eukaryota; Metazoa; Chordata; Lepidosauria; Squamata; Scincidae. The record is from RNAcentral.